AUUGAACGCUGGCGGAGUGCUUUACACAUGCAAGUCGAACGGUAGAGGGGGCAACCCCUCGAGAGUGGCGAAGGGGUGAGUAAUAUAUCGGAACGUGCCCAGUCGUGGGGGAUAACGUAGCGAAAGUUACGCUAAUACCGCAUACGAUCUAAGGAUGAAAGCGGGGGAUCGCAAGACCUCGCGCGAUUGGAGCGGCCGAUAUCAGAUUAGGUAGUUGGUGGGGUAAAGGCUCACCAAGCCAACGAUCUGUAGCUGGUCUGAGAGGACGACCAGCCACACUGGAACUGAGACACGGUCCAGACUCCUACGGGAGGCAGCAGUGGGGAAUUUUGGACAAUGGACGCAAGUCUGAUCCAGCCAUUCCGCGUGCAGGAUGAAGGCCCUCGGGUUGUAAACUGCUUUUGUACGGAACGAAAAGGUCUCUCUUAAUACGGGGGACUCAUGACGGUACCGUAAGAAUAAGCACCGGCUAACUACGUGCCAGCAGCCGCGGUAA
Molecule: ribosomal RNA, 496 nt
Filed under: uncultured bacterium
Lineage: Bacteria
Description: partial 16S ribosomal RNA
Rfam family: Bacterial small subunit ribosomal RNA
Source: RNAcentral